ACUGCCCGGGCCCCGCCCCCCGCCUCGCCCGUGUGUGUCCGCAUCCGCGUGUGUGUGAGGAGACUGUCCGGGCCCCACCCGUGUGUGUGUGUGUGUGUGAAAGUGUGAGCGUGAUGAGACUGCCCAGGCUCCACUCCCGCCUGUGUGUGUGUGUGUGUGUGUGUGUGUGUGAGAGAGAGUGUGAGUGUGAGGAGACUGCCCAGGUCCCGCCUGUGUGUGUGUGUGUGAGAGAGAGUGUGAGUGUGAGGAGACUGCCCAGGUCGCGCCCGUGUGUGUGUGUGUGAGAGAGAGUGUGAGUGUGAGGAGACUGCCCAGGUCGCGCCCGUGUGUGUGUGUGUGUGUGUGUGAGAGAGAGUGUGAGUGUGAGGAGACUGCCCAGGUCCCGCCUGUGUGUGUGUGUGUGUGUGUGUGUGUGUGUGUGUGUGUGAGAGAGAGUGUGAGUGUGAGGAGACUGCCCAGGUCCCCGCCUGCGUGUGUGUGUGUGUGUGUGUGUGUGGCUGCCCUGGGUUCAGCAGUACCAUGUACAGCUCUCCCUGUCAACUGCUGCGUGGCUGUGGCUGCCCCGGGCUGCAGUGGCCCCGUGUACAGUUGCCCUCGGCGCAACGGCUUCCUGUGCAGCUGCCCUGUGUGCAGCGCCCCCACGUACGACUGCCCUGGGUGCAGCUGCCCGGGGUAUGGCAGCCCCACAUGCAGCCGCCUCGAGCAGAUCUGCUCCUUGUGACCUGCCCCAGCUGAAGCUGGCCGCCUCGGACGUAGCGAGCUUUUGCUGCGUCUCGUUGUUGGCCCUUGGUGCCUUGGAGGACGACGAUGUCUGCCGUGCGUCCUCGAUGGGUCUGGAGGUGAUUCAAGAGUCUAAUCUCUGAGCCACAGAUUCAUCCGCCAAGGUUGCAGGUCUUCGCUGGGGAGAGUAGGUCGCAGGCUAGGACGCCUCUCCUUGUCCUUCCUCUGCGCUCUCUUCUCCGCUUCGAGGGCAAGAAGCUUUAUUUGGAAACAGACUGUCACUUGGUCGGGGUUGUGGAGCUGCCAGCCAGCCAGCCAGCUCGAUCGAUCGAUAGUUACAUUGUCCUCGACUGUGGAACAUCCGUACGCUGAUGAUUGUGCUGUUGUUGCACAUAUGGAGGAGGACCUACAAGCAGCCCUUAAGUGCGUCUCUCAAGUAUAUCAGUGCCUGGGACUAACCGUUAACGUUGGAAAAACAAAAGUGCUUCACCAGCUUGCUCUAGGCCAGUCAACUCCCCCAGCAAAGAUCCUCAUUGAUGGACAGGAACUGGAGAAUGUUGAACACUUUGUAUACCACGGCAGCCAUCUCUCAAAGAAGGCCAACGUUGACGAGGAGGAUCUGAUGUGCCAGCUCUGCCUUUGGAAGAUGAGUCAUCAUGUGCUCAAUGAUCAUGACAUCAGGAUUCAAACAAGGCCUACUAUAUAAGCCUGGGGUAAUCCCAACUCUUCUCUACAGCUUUGAAGCAUGGGUGACCUACAGGGACCACCUGAAAAGCCUGGAACACCAUCAUCAAUGUUACCUCUGGAUGAUCCUUGCCAUGGAGUGAGAGGAUCGUCACACAAAUGCCAGAGUCCUCACCGAUGCAAACACUACCAGUAUGAAUGCGUUGAUUAUUCAACAUCAGCAGUCGUGGACAGAGCGCUGUGUGCACAUGCCUGAUGUACGUUUACCAAAACAGGUGCUAUCCUCCCAACUCAAUCAAGGACAAAGGACACAUGGGGGCCAGAGGAAACGUUUUAAGGACACCCUCAAGGCAUCCGUUAACAAGUAGGGUAUUGACAUAAUAAAUUGAGAAAAACUAGCCUGGGACAGGGCUACAAGGCAAUGCCUUGUGAGAGAAGGUACAUCUUACUUUGAGGAAAACCGUCUUGCCUUGGAGACAGAAAAACAACAGAAAUGGAAGGAAAGGAAACAAGAUCGAGAAAUCUGUGGUUCAGCCCUCCCUUUAACCACCACCUGUGGUACUUGCCAGAGAGUCUGUGGCUCUGGGAUUGGCCUUAGCCAUCAACGGACUCAUUUACAACCCUUUCCCUGACCCAUGGGAGUGAACAUCUUCAACCACGAGGGAUCACUGCUACCAAGGAAAGGACUGAGCAAACCCUGCCUACUUUGGUCCCCACAUCCCCCCACCCUCCCUCACACCCCACAAAUGCCACCCACUCACACUCUGCCCCCACAAUCCCCCACAUAUACACCACCCCAACAUACCCUAUUGCCCCCCCACACAUAGCCACAACCCCUUACAAACUCCCACACUCCUCCCCAUCCCAGCAUACACAUACCCCCCCCAGACCCCCAUACACACCCCCACCCCCCACCAUACACACGCAUACCCACACCCCUCACACCCCACCAUACACCUUCACACAGACCCCCAAACACACCCACACCCCCCACACCACACCAUACACACACCUACCCACACCCCUCACACCCUACCAUACACCCCCCACACCCCACCAUACACCCCCCCACAAAGCCCACCAUACACACCCACACACCCCCACUCCAGCAUGCACCCCCCACACAGACCCCUAUACACCCCCAUACCCCACCAUACACACACCCCUCACACCCCACCAUACACCCCCCACCCCAGCCUACACCCCCUACCCCCAGCCAUACCCCCACACAUAAUAUAUGACUAAGAAUUCAUUUUUGAGUUGUUAUGCAAUCACCUUAUAUACAGUACACAAACACAAAUCAUGACAAAAAUAUUUUUUGUAAAUAAAAUAUGUUCUAGUAGGUGUUUGA
Molecule: long non-coding RNA, 2755 nt
Organism: Alligator mississippiensis (American alligator)
Lineage: Eukaryota; Metazoa; Chordata; Crocodylia; Alligatoridae
Exons: 2
Source: RefSeq, a predicted model, not a curated record